This 465-nucleotide ribosomal RNA is filed under the name uncultured bacterium. RNAcentral's name for it is "partial 16S ribosomal RNA". It matches the Rfam family "Bacterial small subunit ribosomal RNA", at positions 28 to 507 of the family's 1533-position model. The record is from RNAcentral.
GAUGAACGCUGGCGGCGUGCUUAACACAUGCAAGUCGAACGGAAAGGCUCCUGCUUGCAGGGGUACUCGAGUGGCGAACGGGUGAGUAACACGUGGGUGAUCUGCCCUGCACUUCGGGAUAAGCCUGGGAAACUGGGUCUAAUACCGGAUAGGACCACAUUUUGGAUGGUGUGGUGGAAAGUUUUUCGGUGUGGGAUGAGCUCGCGGCCUAUCAGCUUGUUGGUGGGGUAAUGGCCUACCAAGGCGUCGACGGGUAGCCGGCCUGAGAGGGUGUACGGCCACAUUGGGACUGAGAUACGGCCCAGACUCCUACGGGAGGCAGCAGUGGGGAAUAUUGCACAAUGGGCGCAAGCCUGAUGCAGCGACGCCGCGUGGGGGAUGACGGCCUUCGGGUUGUAAACUCCUUUCGCUAGGGACGAAGCGCAAGUGUCGGUACCUGGAGAAGAAGCACCGGCUAACUACGUG